CUCACACUUUUUGGAAUUUACCCAGAUGAGUCAAAAACUUAUGUCUACACAAACACCUGCACAUGAAUAUUUGUAGCAGCUUUCUUCCUAAUUGCCAAAACUUAGAAGCAACCAAGAUGUUCUUCAAAUGAAUGGAUAAAUAAACUUUGAUAUCUAGACAAUGGAAUGGUAUUCAGCACUAAAAAGCAGUGAGCUAUCAAGCUGUGAAAAGACAUGGAGGAACUUUAAAUGCUGUAUUACUAAAAGGAAAAAAAAAGGCAGCCUGAAAAGGCUGUGUAUUAUAUGAUUCAAAGGCAAAACCAUGGAGACAGUGAAAGUAUCAGUGGUUACCGUAGUUUGGUGGUAGGGAGGAUGAAUAGGUGGCACACAGAGGGUUUUUAGGUCAAUGAAACUACCGCGCAUGACACUGUGAUGGUGGAUACAUGUCAUUAUACGUUUGUCCAUGCCCGUGGGCUGUACAGUAUCAAAACUGAAUCAUAAUGUGAACUAUGGACUUUGCGUGAUAAUAAUGUGUCCGUGUAAAUUCAUUGAUUAUAACAAAUGUACCAUUCUGGUGGGCCAUUUAGAUAGGGGAGGAGACUACAGAUGUGGGGACAGAGGGUACAGGAUAUCUCUGUACCUUUCCCACAAUUGUGCUGUGAAUCUGAAACUGCUCAGAAAAAAGUUCUAUUUAAAUUGAAAAAAAAAGUGAACUCAUUCAUGUGAUUACAAGGUGAAGAAAUAAAACAUUAAUACCAAUGUAGAAACCUUUGUCUUUCCUAUUCCUAGCUGCUCUCUUCCUUUCAAUACUGACUUUUAACAGCACUGAUUAAUAUUUUCUGUUUUUGAGCUCUAUUGAAAUGGAAUCAUGCAGAAUGCAUCUUUUUGUGUGUCUAACUUCUUUCACACAACACAAUUUGGGAUAUUUCAUUUGUGUUAUUGCAUCUAGCUAUAAUUUGUUUAUUUUUAAGAAGUGUAUCAUUCCAUUAUAGAAUUUACUACAACUUAUUUAUUGUGUGAACUAUAAUGUCAAUUUUGACUCUUUAGAGACUUUUUUCCUUCCUUCCUGUUUAUUAACUGCUUAUGUGACCUCUGAAUAACUGAAGUAUUACUGUUUGAGUAAAAUAAAAUUUGUAUUAAUUUUUAUUAGUAAAGACAUAAAUUUAUAAACUGGCAUAAUCAUACAUUUUAAACUAGUCAGGUAUAAAUAAAGUAUUAGGAAGUCUUA
This is a long non-coding RNA of Mustela erminea (ermine), 1207 nucleotides long. RefSeq lists it as uncharacterized. Lineage: Eukaryota; Metazoa; Chordata; Mammalia; Carnivora; Mustelidae. The transcript is spliced from 3 exons. The record is from RefSeq and is a predicted model, not a curated record.